UGGGGAAUAUUGGACAAUGGGCGCAAGCCUGAUCCAGCCAUACCGCGUGGGUGAAGAAGGCCUUCGGGUUGUAAAGCCCUUUUGUUGGGAAAGAAAAGCAUUCGGUUAAUACCCGAUUGUUCUGACGGUACCCAAAGAAUAAGCACCGGCUAACUUCGUGCCAGCAGCCGCGGUAAUACGAAGGGUGCAAGCGUUACUCGGAAUUACUGGGCGUAAAGCGUGCGUAGGUGGUUGUUUAAGUCUGUCGUGAAAGCCCUGGCUCAACCUGGGAAUUGCGAUGGAAACUGGGCGACUAGAGUGUGGCAGAGGGUAGUGGAAUUCCUGGUGUAGCAGUGAAAUGCGUAGAGAUCAGGAGGAACAUCCGUGGCGAAGGCGACUGCCUGGGCCAACACUGACACUGAGGCACGAAAGCGUGGGGAGCAAACAGGAUUAGAUACCCUGGUAGUCCACGCCCUAAACGAUGCGAACUGGAUGUUGGGUGCAAUUUGGCACGCAGUAUCGAAGCUAACGCGUUAAGUUCGCCGCCUGGGGAGUACGGUCGCAAGACUGAAACUU
Molecule: ribosomal RNA, 555 nt
Filed under: uncultured bacterium
Lineage: Bacteria
Description: partial 16S ribosomal RNA
Rfam family: Bacterial small subunit ribosomal RNA
Source: RNAcentral